Molecule: ribosomal RNA, 292 nt
Filed under: uncultured bacterium
Lineage: Bacteria
Description: partial 16S ribosomal RNA
Source: RNAcentral
GGACUACUGGGGUUUCUAAUCCUGUUCGCUACCCACGCUUUCGUGCCUCAGCGUCAGUUUGAGUCCAGAGAGCCGCCUUCGCAACUGAUGUUCCUUCCGAUAUCUACGCAUUUCACCGCUACACCGGAAAUUCCGCUCCCCUCUACUCAACUCUAGAUGGACAGUCUUAAUUGCAGUUCCUAGGUUAAGCCCAGGCCUUUCACAACUAACUUAUCCUUCCGCCUACGCACCCUUUACGCCCAGUAAGUCCGAUUAACGCUUGCACCCUCUGUAUUACCGCGGCUGCUGGCAC